GACGAACGCUGGCGGCGUGCCUAACACAUGCAAGUCGAACGUGUUGCAAGGGGCUUGCCCUUUGUAAUAACGUGGCGGACGGGUGAGUAACGCGUGAGCAACCUGCCCUUGGGAGCGGGAUAACACGGAGAAAUCCGUGACAAUACCGCAUGUCGCGGAGAGAUGGCAUCGUCUUUCCGUCAAACGGAGAAAUCCGCCCGUGGAUGGGCUCGCGUCCGAUUAGCUAGUUGGUGGGGUAACGGCCCACCAAGGCGACGAUCGGUAGCCGGACUGAGAGGUCGGACGGCCACAUUGGAACUGAGAGACGGUCCAGACUCCUACGGGAGGCAGCAGUGGGGAAUAUUGGGCAAUGGGGGAAACCCUGACCCAGCGACGCCGUGUGAAGGAAGAAGGCCUUCGGGUUGUAAACUUUUGUCGUACGGGACGAGCAGAAGACGGUACCGUACAAGGAAGCCACGGCUAACUACGUGCCAGCAGCCGCGGUAAUACGUAGGUGGCGAGCGUUGUCCGGAAUUACUGGGUGUAAAGGGUGCGUAGGCGGAUAUCCAAGUCAUAUGUGAAAGGCGUGCGCUCAACGUACGGACCGCAUAAGAAACUGGAUGUCUUGAGUGGGGCAGAGGCAAGCGGAAUUCCCAGUGUAGCGGUGAAAUGCGUAGAUAUUGGGAGGAACACCAGUGGCGAAGGCGGCUUGCUGGGCCUUAACUGACGCUGAGGCACGAAAGCAUGGGGAGCAAACAGGAUUAGAUACCCUGGUAGUCCAUGCCGUAAACGAUGAUUACUAGGUGUGGGGGGUCUGACCCCCUCCGUGCCGGAGUUAACACAAUAAGUAAUCCACCUGGGGAGUACGGCCGCAAGGUUGAAACUCAAAGGAAUUGACGGGGGCCCGCACAAGCAGUGGGAGUAUGUUGUUUAAUUCGAUGCAACGCGAAGAAACCUUACCAGGGCUUGACAUCCCAAGGAGCCCGGUAGAGAUA
This 974-nucleotide ribosomal RNA is filed under the name uncultured Bacillota bacterium. RNAcentral describes it as "bacterial SSU rRNA". It matches the Rfam family "Bacterial small subunit ribosomal RNA", at positions 28 to 1008 of the family's 1533-position model. Lineage: Bacteria; Bacillati; Bacillota. The record is from RNAcentral.